Molecule: ribosomal RNA, 301 nt
Filed under: uncultured bacterium
Lineage: Bacteria
Description: partial 16S ribosomal RNA
Rfam family: Bacterial small subunit ribosomal RNA
Source: RNAcentral
CAGUAGCCGCGGUAAUACGUAGGUGGCAAGCGUUGUCCGGAAUUAUUGGGCGUAAAGGGCUCGCAGGCGGUUUCUUAAGUCUGAUGUGAAAGCCCCCGGCUCAACCGGGGAGGGUCAUUAGAAACUGGGGAACUUGAGUGCAGAAGAGGAGAGUGGAAUUCCACGUGUAGCGGUGAAAUGCGUAGAGAUGUGGAGGAACACCAGUGGCGAAGGCGACUCUCUGGUCUGUAACUGACGCUGAGGAGCGAAAGCGUGGGGAGCGAACAGGAUUAGAUACCCCCGUAGUCCCUGUCUCUUAUAC